This 305-nucleotide ribosomal RNA is filed under the name uncultured bacterium. RNAcentral's name for it is "bacterial SSU rRNA". It matches the Rfam family "Bacterial small subunit ribosomal RNA", at positions 337 to 640 of the family's 1533-position model. The record is from RNAcentral.
UCCUACGGGGGGCAGCAGUGAGGAAUAUUGGUCAAUGGUCGGGAGACUGAACCAGCCAAGCCGCGUGAGGGAGGAAGGUACAGAGUAUCGUAAACCUCUUUUGUCAGGGAACACAGACUGGGACGCGUCCCCGGAUGAGUGUACCUGAAGAAAAAGCAUCGGCUAACUCCGUGCCAGCAGCCGCGGUAAUACGGAGGAUGCGAGCGUUAUCCGGAUUUAUUGGGUUUAAAGGGUGCGCAGGCGGUCUGUUAAGUCAGCGGUCAAAGCCCGGGGCUCAACCCCGGCCCGCCGUUGAAACUGGCAGU